This 1267-nucleotide long non-coding RNA is filed under the name Numida meleagris (helmeted guineafowl). RNAcentral's name for it is "lncRNA (ENSNMEG00000022968.1)". Lineage: Eukaryota; Metazoa; Chordata; Aves; Galliformes; Numididae. The record is from RNAcentral.
ACAAGAACAAAUAUCUUCUGUCUGAUCAUCUCUCAUUCCUCUUAGCUAGAGCAGAGAUGAUAGGAAUUUUCCUGAGAGCAAAAUAAAUCAGUCAUCGCAUGGCUGUUGGCAUUCACAGCCAUCUGGCAAGGCAACUUCAGGACUGUGACGUCAGCUAGGUAUGUCAUAACCUGCACAGUGCCCUGCCUCUAGCGCUGCACAAGCUCCAAACAGACCAGUGAGAAGAGGUGACAAAGUCAAGUACGCAGAGUGAUGGGGCUCUCUCCCUUCACGAUCUCCAGGAGCAAGAGUGCAGUGCUGCUGGGCAAGACAUCACAUAGAAAAGGGCAUGAUUCUUCAGUGGGACUGACAAUUUAUCCUCAAGGACACAAAAAUAUUGCAGUGCUCCUUUAAAGGAUCACUCUGUUAAAGAGACAGAAAUUCCUUCUGAGGAGGAUGGCUCUUAUUCCUGGAUCAAAGUCCUCUUUAUGUGUAUUUUCACAUUCAGCAGUAGAAAAGAGUUUUAAAAAAACAUGACAGGCUGAAGUCAAACAACUUCACCUGGACAGACUACACUGAAGUCUAUUUGAGCAAAAGCACUCUGCUUGUACUCAGUGUGGAUGGAUCUAAAGUUUAAAGUCUCAUUUACGGUUUCCAGCUGACCUCACUGGUAAGGUCUUUCUGCAACUUGUUAUUAAAAACUUAUAAUAACAAUAUUUUGAUAGCCUUUAAAAUGCUUCCCUCUAGUACUACUAUCUUGGCCAUUUCCUCAGAGGAAACCUACUCAUUAUAGAAAUUUGCAAUAAUAUGGUGAAGAAAUACAGCAAUAUUGCUAAAAUCCAGAUUACUAGCUCAGAGACUUCCCCAGGGCCUCAGGCUGCUAUUUAAACUAAUUUUCAUGUAAACAGCACCAUGAAGAUACAAUACUACUUGUGGAGUAUUUUUUUUGACAGAGCGGAAGCUACCACCCAUGUUUCAAUCUUGGUUCAGUUUUCAUAACUUGACUAUUUCCUGUGUUUAAAAUUACUUGGAAUCAAUUUUUUUUUGCUUGCUUGUUGAUUUUUAAAUUUAGUCUUGCUUUACCUCUAUUCUAUUCAUUUUUCUGAAUGUCUGUGACGUGUUAAUGUAUAAUAUAUAUGCUUGCUCUCUUCUCUUUUCUCUACCAAGUCAGGUGUUUCAAUAGUGUUGCAUUUUGGAUUGUUUUCAAACCCAGUUCAGAUGGAGAAUCAUAGAUGCAUUAAGGUUGGAAAACACCACUAAGGUCAUUUAGUCUAACCACCUACUCAUG